This 253-nucleotide ribosomal RNA is filed under the name uncultured bacterium. RNAcentral describes it as "partial 16S ribosomal RNA". It matches the Rfam family "Bacterial small subunit ribosomal RNA", at positions 524 to 776 of the family's 1533-position model. The record is from RNAcentral.
UACAGAGGGUGCAAGCGUUAAUCGGAAUUACUGGGCGUAAAGCGUGCGUAGACGGUUAUGUAAGUCAGAUGUGAAAGCCCCGGGCUCAACCUGGGAAUUGCAUUUGAGACUGCAUAGCUAGGGUGCGGAAGAGGGAAGCGGAAUUUCCGGUGUAGCGGUGAAAUGCGUAGAUAUCGGAAGGAACACCAGUGGCGAAAGCGGCUUCCUGGUCUCAUACUGACACUGAGGUGCGAAAGCGUGGGGAGCAAACAGG